This 431-nucleotide ribosomal RNA is filed under the name uncultured bacterium. Its description in RNAcentral is "partial 16S ribosomal RNA". It matches the Rfam family "Bacterial small subunit ribosomal RNA", at positions 29 to 507 of the family's 1533-position model. The record is from RNAcentral.
AACGAACGCUGGCGGCAGGCUUAACACAUGCAAGUCGAGCGCCCCGCCAGGGGAGCGGCAGACGGGUGAGUAACGCGUGGGAACGUACCUUUUGGUUCGGAACAACUCCGGGAAACUGGAGCUAAUACCGGAUAAGCCCUAACGGGGAAAGAUUUAUCGCCGAAAGAUCGGCCCGCGUCUGAUUAGCUAGUUGGUGAGGUAACGGCUCACCAAGGCGACGAUCAGUAGCUGGUCUGAGAGGAUGAUCAGCCACACUGGGACUGAGACACGGCCCAGACUCCUACGGGAGGCAGCAGUGGGGAAUAUUGGACAAUGGGCGCAAGCCUGAUCCAGCCAUGCCGCGUGAGUGAUGAAGGCCUUAGGGUUGUAAAGCUCUUUUGUCCGGGAAGAUAAUGACUGUUCCGGAAGAAUAAGCCCCGGCUAACUUCGUG